Molecule: ribosomal RNA, 499 nt
Filed under: uncultured bacterium
Lineage: Bacteria
Description: partial 16S ribosomal RNA
Rfam family: Bacterial small subunit ribosomal RNA
Source: RNAcentral
GACGAACGCUGGCGGCGUGCUUAACACAUGCAAGUCGAACGGGCCCGCUCUCUUUUUUGGGGGUGGGUUGAGUGGCGAACGGGUGAGUAUCACGUGAGUAACCUGCCCCCUGCUCCUGGAUAACUGCUUGAAAGGGCGGCUAAUACGGGGUGUGCCGGCUGGUCCGCAUGGGCCUGGUCGGGAUAGUUUCAUCUUCGGGUGUUUCGGUGGGGGAUGGGCUCGCGGCCUAUCAGCUUGUUGGUGGGGUGAUGGCCCACCAAGGCGGUGACGGGUAGCCGGCCUGAGAGGGUGGGCGGCCACACUGGGACUGAGACACGGCCCAGACUCCUGCGGGAGGCAGCAGUGGGGGGUAUUGCGCAAUGGGCGGAAGCCUGAUGCAGCGACGUCGCGUGAGGGAUGGAGGCCUUCGGGUGGUGAACCUCUUUCUCCGGUGGUGAAGGCCCUGUCCGUUGCGGCGGGGUUGACGGUAGCCGGGUAUGAAGCGCCGGCUAACUACGUG